GGAUGGCAUCCAGGUCUCCUUACCUAUCCUGGAGCACAGAAAGAAGAAAACCAGAUGAACAGGAGCCAAACACCCUCUCUUUUCCUCCAGCAAUACCCCACAAUUGUUUGAGGAGGCAGGCAAGGCCAUAGAGUCAUGCAGCUGACCUUGCGGGUGGGCCUCCAACUUCUCCCCUGGCUGGUUAGGAAAAGCCUGCCUGUGACUUUUUCCUCUGCCGGAGUGAGGCUGCCCAGUUUCAAUUUCCCUGCUCUGGGCAGGCUGGAGAGGGCUCCUAGGAGGUGAAGGGGACUACGUAUGCCCCAGGCAGAGAGGUCGCCACAGCUUCCCUGCCUUGUCCCAGCCGAUUGUGCGGCGGAGCAGGCGCGCGGCCACAGCUCUCCCC
Molecule: long non-coding RNA, 382 nt
Filed under: Homo sapiens (human)
Lineage: Eukaryota; Metazoa; Chordata; Mammalia; Primates; Hominidae
Description: non-protein coding lnc-LTK-1:1
Source: RNAcentral